GACGAACGCUGGCGGCGUGCCUAAUACAUGCAAGUCGAACGCUUCUUUCCUCCCGAGUGCUUGCACUCAAUUGGAAAGAGGGGUGGCGGACGGGUGAGUAACACGUGGGUAACCUACCCAUCAGAGGGGGAUAACACUUGGAAACAGGUGCUAAUACCGCAUAACAGUUUAUGCCGCAUGGCAUAAGAGUGAAAGGCGCUAUCGGGUGUCGCUGAUGGAUGGGCCCGCGGGGCAUUAGCUAGUUGGUGAGGUAACGGCUCACCAAGGCCACGAUGCGUAGCCGACCUGAGAGGGUGAUCGGCCACACUGGGACUGAGACACGGACCAGACUCCUACGGGAGGCAGCAGUAGGGAAUCUUCGGCAAUGGACGAAAGUCUGACCGAGCAACGCCGCGUGAGUGAAGAAGGUUUUCGGAUCGUAAAACUCUGUUGUUAGAGAAGAACAAGGACGUUAGUAACUGAACGUCCCCUGACGGUAUCUAACCAGAAAGCCACGGCUAACUACGUG
Molecule: ribosomal RNA, 508 nt
Filed under: uncultured bacterium
Lineage: Bacteria
Description: partial 16S ribosomal RNA
Rfam family: Bacterial small subunit ribosomal RNA
Source: RNAcentral